UGGGGAAUAUUGGACAAUGGGGGGAACCCUGAUCCAGCCAUGCCGCGUGUGUGAAGAAGGCCUUAUGGUUGUAAAGCACUUUAAGCGAGGAGGAGGCUCUUUUGGUUAAUACCCAAGAUGAGUGGACGUUACUCGCAGAAUAAGCACCGGCUAACUCUGUGCCAGCAGCCGCGGUAAUACAGAGGGUGCGAGCGUUAAUCGGAUUUACUGGGCGUAAAGCGUGCGUAGGCGGCUUUUUAAGUCGGAUGUGAAAUCCCCGAGCUUAACUUGGGAAUUGCAUUCGAUACUGGUUAGCUAGAGUGUGGGAGAGGAUGGUAGAAUUCCAGGUGUAGCGGUGAAAUGCGUAGAGAUCUGGAGGAAUACCGAUGGCGAAGGCAGCCAUCUGGCCUAACACUGACGCUGAGGUACGAAAGCAUGGGGAGCAAACAGG
Molecule: ribosomal RNA, 430 nt
Filed under: Pseudomonadota bacterium
Lineage: Bacteria; Pseudomonadati; Pseudomonadota
Description: Proteobacteria bacterium partial 16S ribosomal RNA
Rfam family: Bacterial small subunit ribosomal RNA
Source: RNAcentral